UAAACUGCAGGCCCAACCAUUUAAUAGUUCCAGCCCAAGCUGCCAUUUUAAUUAAAUCAUUUGCCCAACAUUAAAACCUGAACUUGGUCCCCACCUUUAAUUUAAGAGGCCCAAAAGCAAGAAAAGGAAAAGAAGGCCCAAAAAUACCCCUUCCCCCAUCGUGACUUCUUCUUCCCCAAUUCAUUCUCCCAUUUCAAAAUUUCUUCAAGUCCCUAGUUGAAGCAAUAGCAGCGCCUCCCCUUUCUUCUUCUUUCUCUUCCUCAUCCCACACCUCAUCUUGGUGGAAUUCGAAGUCCCGCCGGCACGUACUCCCUAAAUCGACGAAACAACGGCGGUCUCUCUUCUCUUCCUUUCGUCGCCGUCUCCGACUACUCGACGGGUAGAUCGCCGCUGUCACUCGCCGUCCGGCCCUGACCCUUCGCGAGGCAGCCUCGACACUCACCGGCGACUCAGCGUUGACGCCGUCGCGACAUGGAUCCAUCAUUGCCGUCGCGACGCCCAAAUGCCGGUGCUCUGCCGUCGGCAUCGCGGUGUUUUCCUCGACGUCUCGCCGGACAGACCCUCAUCCGCAAGCUAAGUUCUUUUGGCUUGGUGUACUUAGUUUUGAUUGAUUAUGAAAUUUGGGCAGUAGCUAUGUGGUGUUGAUGGUCUUGACUAUAGUGUGCUAAAACUUUGAUUUUCCUUGGGCAGUAGCCAUGGUAAAUUUGCUACUGAUUUUUGGCUGGAAACAGUUUAUGUUCUCCCUUGAUUUGAAAUGUAUGGUGUGUAAAACUCAAGGCUCUAAAUCUUGCGCCUAGCAUGAUGUUCGAACUAGAAGCAGUGUGGUUAAAUUUUGUUUUGUCUGUGCUCUGCAGUGUUGCAGAUUAUAGUUAAACUUGGUGCUUAGGAUUCUUUCUUCUGGUAUUCCUAUUAUGUUGUGCCCCUUUUUUUUCAUGCUUCUAUGUCCCUAUGAUGGGGAAGAAAGGGUGUUACCUCUUGAAGUGGCUACGCUCUUUUAAAUCUUUGUUCCUAAUUCUUCCAAGUUCACUUCCCACUCUGGAACUCCUUGUUGUGAAGUAAGGGAAAGGGGUGAGCUUAUGUUUUAGUAUGAAAAACUUGUGGGGAGGAAGAAAAGAGAUGUUACCUAUGGAAAGUAGGGCUGCCUGCAGGAACUAUGCAGAAAGCUCUCAAACUUGCUCUCAAACUUGCUACUGCUCGUUCUUGAUUCUCACUAGAAGUUGCUGAAUUUUUUAUGUGUGUGGAAGGGAGAAAUUUAUGCAUAUGAUGGGGUUUUUAUAGGCAAAACUUGAUGUACUUUGGGAGGAUUAAAUGGGAUGAUAUUGUAGUUGCCUUCAUGCUGCAGCAUAUCCCUUAUUUGGUCCACAUUAUAGCACUUAACUUAAGACUUUUGGUGUUAUUUGAAGUACUAGGUACUUGAUCAUUAACUCUAUCUUGUUCCCAUAUGAUUUCCUAGUACUUAGCUAUUAACUUUCAUUGUUUGCUUGUGGCUGGUGAGAAAACAGGUGCUGCCAUAAUGUGGAGGAUUUGCAUGAUUGACUUGCCCCUUUUGGGAAGUCUUUGGUCUUUCAACUAAAGAGAGGACUUGGGCUGCCAAGCUGCUGUCCGAGACGGGCUCGCUGCCUCAGACCCAAUGGGCUGAUCGGAUAGGGCCGACUUAUCGGGCUUCAAAAGGGCGUAAUGCGGUUCACAUAGAUUAGGCCCGUUGUUUAUAGUCUUGUGAUUGUAGUCAUGAUUUUUUUUCUCAAACUCAUAAAUUCAUGCACUUUAUUUUGUAAAUUAGCGUGUAGUUCGAGAUGUAAGCGAACACGCUUAGUUAGAAAAUGAAAUCUUUAUAUUCUUCUCAA
Long non-coding RNA from Salvia splendens (bonfire salvia), 1844 nucleotides. RefSeq lists it as uncharacterized. The transcript has 2 exons. NCBI's taxonomy places the organism in Eukaryota, Viridiplantae, Streptophyta, Magnoliopsida, Lamiales, Lamiaceae. The record is from RefSeq and is a predicted model, not a curated record.